Regulatory RNA element from Cavia porcellus (domestic guinea pig), 114 nucleotides. It matches the Rfam family "Potassium channel RNA editing signal". From Rfam's summary of the family: This family represents a group of sequences related to the human potassium channel Kv1.1 hairpin element which directs the efficient modification of an adenosine to inosine by an adenosine deaminase acting on RNA (ADAR). The record is from Rfam. Lineage: Eukaryota; Metazoa; Chordata; Mammalia; Rodentia; Caviidae.
GUGGGCUACGGGGACAUGUACCCCAUGACUGUGGGGGGCAAGAUUGUGGGUUCUCUGUGUGCCAUUGCUGGGGUCCUCACCAUUGCUCUGCCCGUCCCAGUCAUCGUCUCCAAC